CAAUAGCGUAUAUUAAAGUUGUUGCAGUUAGAACGCUCGUAGUCGGAUUUCGGGGCGGGGCGACCGGUCUGCCGAUGGGUAUGCACUGGUCGGCGCGUCCUUCCUUCCGGAGACCGUUCCUACUCUUAACUGAGCGGGGGCGGGAGACGGAUCGUUUACUUUGAAAAAAUCAGAGUGUUUCAAGCAGGCAGCUCGCUCUUGCAUGGAUUAGCAUGGGAUAAUGAAAUAGGACUUUGGUGCUAUUUUGUUGGUUUCGAACACCGAAGUAAUGAUUAAAAGGGGCAGUCAGGGGCACUCGUAUUCCGCCGAGAGAGGUGAAAUUCUCAGACCAGCGGAAGACGAACCACUGCGAAAGCAUUUGCCAGGGAUGUUUUCACUGA
Molecule: ribosomal RNA, 380 nt
Filed under: uncultured eukaryote
Lineage: Eukaryota
Description: partial 18S ribosomal RNA
Rfam family: Eukaryotic small subunit ribosomal RNA
Source: RNAcentral